Lutra lutra (Eurasian river otter) is the source of this 249-nucleotide long non-coding RNA. RefSeq lists it as uncharacterized. The transcript has 3 exons. The record is from RefSeq and is a predicted model, not a curated record. Lineage: Eukaryota; Metazoa; Chordata; Mammalia; Carnivora; Mustelidae.
UUUCAGGUCGCUCUAGCAGAGUCAGGUGCCAAGGAGGCAAAGCCUCUUGUCUAGGGCAAAGAUAGCAGAGAAAGAAAUUCAUCAAAACAUCUUCUUCAGCUGGUUUUCGAAGCAUUUCUGGCAGCCUGGCAUUGCAUGUUUGAACUUUGGGAAGAAGGAUUUGAUUUAUUGACUCUCCACAAUUCCAACCAAAGACUUCAUAUGGCAGCUAGCAUAUGCCCAAAGAUAUGACUAUGAUACAGAUGCAAG